UCACAUCCUGGGGCUGUAGUCGGUCCCAAGGGUAUGGCUGUUCGCCAUUUAAAGUGGUACGUGAGCUGGGUUUAAAACGUCGUGAGACAGUUUGGUCCCUAUCUGCAGUGGGCGUUGGAAGUUUGACGGGGGCUGCUCCUAGUACGAGAGGACCGGAGUGGACGAACCUCUGGUGUACCGGUUGUUUCGCCAGAAGCAUAGCCGGGUAGCUAAGUUCGGAAGAGAUAAGCGCUGAAAGCAUCUAAGCGCGAAACUCGCCCAAAGAUGAGACUUCCCUUGUGGUUUAACCAUACUAAAGAGUCGUUCGAGACCAGGACGUUGAUAGGUUGGGUGUGGAAGAGUGGUAACACUUGAAGCUAACCAAUACUAAUUGCUCGUGAGGCUUGACUCU
Molecule: ribosomal RNA, 391 nt
Filed under: Kingella kingae
Lineage: Bacteria; Pseudomonadati; Pseudomonadota; Betaproteobacteria; Neisseriales; Neisseriaceae
Description: partial 23S ribosomal RNA
Rfam family: Bacterial large subunit ribosomal RNA
Source: RNAcentral